RNAcentral lists this transfer RNA (67 nucleotides) under Marmota monax (woodchuck). RNAcentral describes it as "tRNA.Ala". Lineage: Eukaryota; Metazoa; Chordata; Mammalia; Rodentia; Sciuridae. The record is from RNAcentral.
GGGUGCAGCUCAGUGGUGGAGCGCUUUCCUAGCACGUGUGAGGCCCUGGGUUCAAUACCCAGGGCCA